This 73-nucleotide transfer RNA is filed under the name Marmota monax (woodchuck). RNAcentral's name for it is "tRNA.Ala". The record is from RNAcentral. Lineage: Eukaryota; Metazoa; Chordata; Mammalia; Rodentia; Sciuridae.
GAGGAUGUGGCUCAGUUGAUAGAGUGCUUAUCUAGCAUGCAUGAGGUCCUGUGUUUGAUCUACAGCACUGUGC